GAAUUAAUAAUCAUAUUUUAAGUAUAAUUUUUACAAAUAAACAUAGUUGCGUUGAUAUUCUUUAACGGGUAAAAUGUAAAUGUGGUCACUGGUGUUUUUGAGUAUAUAGCUUCUUCUUUUUGUCAACACCAAUCGAGCUCCCAUGGAUUUGAUCCCAAAACCUCCUAUUUCUAUUUGAAAUGUUAGUAACAAAACAACCCAAGCAACA
Molecule: long non-coding RNA, 208 nt
Filed under: Panax ginseng (ginseng)
Lineage: Eukaryota; Viridiplantae; Streptophyta; Magnoliopsida; Apiales; Araliaceae
Description: long non-coding RNA (PGIN_LNC010281)
Source: RNAcentral